Molecule: ribosomal RNA, 494 nt
Filed under: uncultured bacterium
Lineage: Bacteria
Description: partial 16S ribosomal RNA
Rfam family: Bacterial small subunit ribosomal RNA
Source: RNAcentral
GACGAACGCUGGCGGCGUGCUUAACACAUGCAAGUCGAACGGAAAGGCCUGCUUUCCCUUGUGGAUUGCGGGUACUCGAGUGGCGAACGGGUGAGUAACACGUGAGUGAUCUGCCCCCAACUUGGGUAUAAGCCUGGGAAACUGGGUCUAAUUCCCGAUAGGACUGCAGGGUGGUGCCUGUGGUGGAAAACGAUUUUCUAGUGGUUGGGGAUGAGCUCGCGGCCUAUCAGCUUGUUGGUGGGGUAAUGGCCUACCAAGGCGGCGACGGGUAGCCGGCCUGAGAGGGUGGACGGGCACAUUGGGACUGAGAUACGGCCCAGACUCCUACGGGAGGCAGCAGUGGGGAAUAUUGCACAAUGGGCGGAAGCCUGAUGCAGCGACGCCGCGUGGGGGAUGACGGCCUUCGGGUUGUAAACUCCUUUCGACCGCGAGGAAGCCACCUGGUUGGAAGGGUGGUGACGGUAGUGGUGGAAGAAGCACCGGCUAACUACGUG